This is a transfer RNA of Sphaerobolus stellatus SS14, 90 nucleotides long. It matches the Rfam family "tRNA". From Rfam's summary of the family: Transfer RNA (tRNA) molecules are approximately 80 nucleotides in length. Their secondary structure includes four short double-helical elements and three loops (D, anti-codon, and T loops). The record is from Rfam. Lineage: Eukaryota; Fungi; Basidiomycota; Agaricomycetes; Geastrales; Sphaerobolaceae.
GGCAACAUGGCCGAGUGGUCUAAGGCGCCAGAAUUAGGCCUAACUGAAAUCUGGUCCGAAAGGGCGUGAGUUCGAACCUCACUGUUGUCA